This 148-nucleotide non-coding RNA is filed under the name Nomascus leucogenys (northern white-cheeked gibbon). Lineage: Eukaryota; Metazoa; Chordata; Mammalia; Primates; Hylobatidae. The record is from Rfam by way of RNAcentral.
GCUGGGUGUGGUGGCACGCAUCUGUAAUCCCAGCUACUUGGGAGGCUGAGGCAGGAGAAUUGCUUGAACCUGGGAGGCGGAGAUUGCAGUGAGCCAAGAUUGUGCCACUGCACUCCAGCCUGGGUAACAAAGCAAGACUCUGUCUCAA